RNAcentral lists this ribosomal RNA (253 nucleotides) under uncultured bacterium. RNAcentral's name for it is "partial 16S ribosomal RNA". It matches the Rfam family "Bacterial small subunit ribosomal RNA", at positions 524 to 776 of the family's 1533-position model. The record is from RNAcentral.
UACGUAGGGUCCGAGCGUUGUCCGGAAUUAUUGGGCGUAAAGGGCUCGUAGGCGGUUUGUCGCGUCGGGAGUGAAAACACGGGGCUUAACCCCGUGCCUGCUUCCGAUACGGGCAGACUAGAGGUAUGCAGGGGAGAACGGAAUUCCUGGUGUAGCGGUGAAAUGCGCAGAUAUCAGGAGGAACACCUGCGGCGAAGGCGGGUUGCUGGGCCGACACUGACGCUGAGGCGCGAAAGCUAGGGGAGCGAACGGG